RNAcentral lists this transfer RNA (89 nucleotides) under Poronia punctata. RNAcentral describes it as "tRNA-Thr". It matches the Rfam family "tRNA". From Rfam's summary of the family: Transfer RNA (tRNA) molecules are approximately 80 nucleotides in length. Their secondary structure includes four short double-helical elements and three loops (D, anti-codon, and T loops). Lineage: Eukaryota; Fungi; Ascomycota; Sordariomycetes; Xylariales; Xylariaceae. The record is from RNAcentral.
GCCUCUAUGGCGUAGUGGUAGCGCGUGUCACUUGUACUUUUCAGCACAGGAUUAUGACAAGGUCUCUCGUUCGAUCCGGGAUGGAGGCA